AGCGGGGUGGAGGAGUAGUAUCUCGUCAGGCUCAUAACCUGAAGUCCCGGGUGCAAAUCCCGGCCCCGCAA
This 71-nucleotide transfer RNA is filed under the name Candidatus Kaiserbacteria bacterium RIFCSPHIGHO2_01_FULL_51_33. RNAcentral describes it as "tRNA-Met". It matches the Rfam family "tRNA". Rfam says of the family: Transfer RNA (tRNA) molecules are approximately 80 nucleotides in length. Their secondary structure includes four short double-helical elements and three loops (D, anti-codon, and T loops). Further hydrogen bonds mediate the characteristic L-shaped molecular structure. tRNAs have two regions of fundamental functional importance: the anti-codon, which is responsible for specific mRNA codon recognition, and the 3' end, to which the tRNAs corresponding amino acid is attached (by aminoacyl-tRNA synthetases). tRNAs cope with the degeneracy of the genetic code in two manners: having more than one tRNA (with a specific anti-codon) for a particular amino acid; and 'wobble' base-pairing, i.e. permitting non-standard base-pairing at the 3rd anti-codon position. Lineage: Bacteria; Candidatus Kaiseribacteriota. The record is from RNAcentral. RNAcentral also lists the same sequence under 2 other names.